RNAcentral lists this small RNA (3226 nucleotides) under Caenorhabditis elegans. Its description in RNAcentral is "Unclassified non-coding RNA R155.10". The record is from RNAcentral. Lineage: Eukaryota; Metazoa; Nematoda; Chromadorea; Rhabditida; Rhabditidae.
AUUUAUCGGUCUCGUAAUGGAUGUCUACGACGGAGCACAAAAGCCGGAGCACUUGAAGCCCGAUCAAAAGCUUACAGCAAUCAGUGACAAGCCGGGCCUAUUGGAAAUUGCCGCUUUUGGGCUCUUUUUCCAGGUAAAAACAAGGAAUUUUUCGAUGAAAAACGCUGGAUUUUCUUUCAGGGAACCCUCGUCGGACCACAAUUCACACUUUCAAAAUUCCGUUCAUUUGUUAAUGGAGACUGGUUGGAUUCUGAUGGUCAACCACCGAAAUCUGCGUAAGUUUGGAGGGAAAAGCUAAAAAAUCUGGAAUUUUCAGCAUUUUUAGCCACAUUUUGACUGAAAAUUCGAGAAAAUUGGCCUAAUUUUGAUCCAAAAGCGAAAAAAAUCGCUGAUGGCCUAAUUUUUGCGGUUUCUAGGCCACCAAUCGGAAAAUUAUGCUCUUCAGAAUUUUGUCGUCAAAAUUUUCAAAAUUGGUGACUUUUCUAGCCUUCAACUUGGAAUUUUAGCCAAUUUUUCACUGAAAAUUGUGCUAAAACUCAAUUUUUUCGAAUUUUCAUACCUAAAUUGUCAAUUUUGAAGCUUUUCACCGAAAAUUUCGAAUUUUCCGUUAGUUUCUAGAUGGCAAACUCAAAAUUCGAGUUUUCCGGGUUACUGUAGCCCCAGAAGUACGCAAACACUGCGGAGCUUACGACAAAAUGCACAGUUUUCUAAAAAGUUGAGAAAACUAUCGGGAUAGGGGUAAUAAGUACUCCUGAAUCCGAAUUUUUUGGCUAAAAUUUAUAAAAAACUGGGGAAUUUUCAUUUUUAGCUUAAAUUUCCCGAGAAAACGCCGAUUUUCUCCAAAAAUCCCGAUUUUUGUAGAUUUUUACUGGGAUUUUCGUAUUCUUACGAAUUUUUCGUGCUAAAUAAGCUCGAAUUUGACAUUUUGAGACGAAAAUCGAAAAUUUUGAAAAAAAAUCGCAUUUCCACUGAAAAUUUCAAAUUUUCACCAAGUUUUUUGAAAUCCUGACACAAUUUUAGCCUACAAUCGUGUUUUCCCAGCUUCCUAACUCGAAAUUUGAAUUUCGCGGGGUACUGUAGCCCCAAAAGUACGCAAACACCGAGGAUCUCACGACAAAAUGCACAGUUUUUGCAUUUUUGACGAUAGAGUCUUGAAAAUUGAGUUCCAGGGGUAAAAAGUGAUAGGGAAAUCGAAUUUCUUAUCAAAAACUUGAGAAACUCGUUGGAUUAAAUGAUUAAAAUGAAUUUUACAAAUUUCUAACUUUUUCCCUAGUUUUUAAUAAUUUUUCAAUGCGAUUUUCGAACUCCCCGCCAUUUUUCACCCCUGAAACUCUUUUCCCCAGCUUUCUAUCUCGAAAUUUGAAUUUCCCGGGUUACUGUAGCCCCGAAAGUACGCAAACACCGAGCAUCCCACGACAAAAUGCACAGUUUUCUGAAAACUUGCGAAAAUAUGCAAAAUAGGGCUAAAAUGGUGCUCUGAAUUCGAAUUUAGCAAUGAAAAAUCGUAAAAAUGUCUAGUUUUCGAGUUUUCCCCCCACAAAAAAUCCGAUUUUUUUGCAGAUUCCUUCCGUCAAUUGGCCGUUUUCUUGCCGGUUGUACCUAUAUGGUACUCCAUCAAUGGGGACAAUUCUGGAUUCCUGAUCAAUAUUUUAAUUCUGAUGCCUACAACAAUUUAUCCUUUUUCUGGCGGUGGUCAUGGGUUACCCUGUGGUUUAGGCUUACAAUGUACAAAUAUUGUGCAAUGUGGCUUAUCACUGAAGGAGCAUCGAUUUUGAGUGGGCUGGGACAUAAUGGAAAGGAUGCAGAGGGAAAUGAUAGGUAGAAUAUUGAAAAAUGGUUAAAAUACUGGUUUUAGCGUGAAAAAUGGUGAAAAUCCACUAAUUUUAGACAAAAAAUGAGCAUUUUCAGGAGAUUUUGAAGUUUUGAGCAAAAAAUUUCUAUAAAAUAGAUGAAAAUCUUCAUUUUGACUAAGAAAAAAAUACCGGAAAAAUCAAUAAAUUUCCCGAAAAAAUCGAUAACUUCCCAAAAAAAAAAUCGAUAAUUUCCCGAAAAAAUCAAUAAUUUCCCGAAAAAUCAAUAAUUUCCCGAAAAAUCAAUGAAUUUCCGAAAAAAUCGAUAAUUUCUGGAAAAAUCGAUAAUUUUCAAAAAAAAAAUCGAUAAUUUUCUGAAAAAAUCGAUAAUUUACCGAAAAAUCGAUAAAUUUACUGAAAAAAACAAUAAUUUUAAUAAAAAAUCGAUAAUUCUAAAAAAAAAAUCGAUAAUUUUCGCAAAAAAUCGAUAAUUUCCUGAAAAAAUCAAUAAAUUUGCGGAAAAAAAAUUUUUCUGCGAAAUUCGAUAAUUUCCGGAAAAAUUGAUUUUUCACUUUUUCGGGGUUACUGUACCUUUAAAAGUACGCAAACACCUUGGCAAAAUUCUCCAUUAUCGAUUUUUGAACAUUUUUUUCUGAAAAUCCCGGAUUUUCUGUUCAAUUUUCGAAAUCCCCACCCAAUUUUACGCCAAAAUCAAGUUUUUCCUGGUUUUCUAGCUCAAAAUUUGUCAAUUUCUAACUAUCAAAUUCUUCGAAUUCUCCGCCAUUUAUCACUUCUGAAACCCGUUUUCCUGGCUUUCUAGCUCGAAAUUUGAAUUUCCCGGGUUACUGUAGCCCCGAAAGUACGCAAACACCGAGGGCCUCACGACAAAAUGCACAGUUUUCGUAUUUUCGACGUUAGGCUCCUAAAAACUGGGUCUCGGGGGUGAAAAGUGAUGGAGAAAUCGAUUUUCUACCUCCAAAAACUUUGGAAACCCGUUGGAUUAAGUUGAAUUUCACAAAUUUCCUACUUUUUUCUUAGUUUUUAACAAUUUUCAAUACCAUUUUCGAAAUCCCCACCCAAUUUUACCCCAAAAUCGAGUUUUCCCAGCUUUCUAGCUCGAAUUUUGAAUUUCCCGGGGUACUGUAGCCACAAAAGUACGCAAACACCGAGCAUCCCACGACAAAUUGCACAGUUUUCUGAAAAUUUCCGAAAAUAUGCAAAAUAGGGGUAAUAAGUACUUCUGAAUCCGAAUUUCUUGGUUAAAAUACAUAAAAACUAGGGUUUUGCCCGAAAAGUUCAAUUUUUCACUAAAAAUAUCGAUUUUUUGCAGAUGGGACGGAGUUCGUGACCUUCACAUCAUCAAAUGGGAGACCGGACACGACUAUAACUCGGUCGUCGAGUCGUUCAACUGCGGAACCAAUACUUUUGCCAAAAAG